RNAcentral lists this long non-coding RNA (2239 nucleotides) under Arachis ipaensis. Its description in RNAcentral is "long non-coding RNA (AIPA_LNC001759)". Lineage: Eukaryota; Viridiplantae; Streptophyta; Magnoliopsida; Fabales; Fabaceae. The record is from RNAcentral.
AAACAUAUACUCACAUAAUUAAUAUUAAUACAUAAUAAUUAUUCAUACAAGACUUAAAUACAAACCUACCCCUCUGUAAAAAUACAACACUUUACAACAUCAAGGGCGAGGGAAAUAAACCCAAAAGCAACUAGCCAAACAAGCCUUCUAUUCGUCCGUAGCUUUUCAAUUAGCCAUCCUGUCUGUACCUCUGAAAAUGUUUUUUUAAAAACUUUGGGGUGAGAACAAAGCCACACGUUCUCAGUAGGGAACGUGAAUGCCACAAUAAACAGAGUAAAUACAAAUAGCUAGUUCAUAUCACAAAAACAACAGUUCAAUCACAAAUGAACAAUAAAGCAAACGCAAUCAAAUGUAAAUGCACAAACAAGAUGAUGCAUGCCUGUUCCUAGCGCAGGCCAUGAGCUCAUGCGUCGGUUGUCUACCCGCAACCCGACGUUACUCGGAGUGAACCCCGAAUAUGGUCCCUUUACUGUGUCAAUUAGACACCUUGGCAUCACGGUUACCCGUGUCAAUUAGGCCUCAUUAUAAUAACAGUUCAAUGUGUAUCACAGUAAGGAACAAUGCUAUCAAUUAGGCGAACAUUCCCGCAUUAGCAAUCUCAAGCUAUCAGUUAGGCGGGCCCUUUCGCAUUAGCAGUUUGGCACAAAAGCCCAUUCAAUAUAAUUCUCAACUUUUAUUUCAUUCCUUGUUCCUCAUUCUUUUUCUUUUCCUUUAAGUAUCCUUUCCAUCAUUUAUUUCUUACUUUCUUUCCUUUCCAUUAUGCCUCCGCAUCGUCUUACAACUAAACACACCUCCGCAUCACCAAGUAGCUAAAAGUACCUCCACAUCACCAUGAAACUAGGCGUACCUCCGCAUCACCAUUUAACUUUAAACGUUUCCUAGGGAUAACUUACACACCUUUGUUUAACUAAGUUCAUACAUUCUGCUAAAUUUGGACAUAUCCUUUAGGUCUAAGCCAAGUUUCACCACGUUUAGAUUAGAAUUGAAUUAGAUAGCCAACUUAAUAAAAUAUGUUGCUGCACUAAAGGGAAUUUAGAAAAAAAUACAGCAAGUAGUUCUGUUUUUAAUAAAUCUGUAAUAAAUUCAAUUCUAAUCCAUUACUUCUAAAUUUUGGUGAGGAUAUACUUAACACUCAUAAGUUUUAGGACAAAUAAAUUUCAGAUCCAUAGCAUCUCGUUUGGUUAAUUAAAAGUCAGUUGGAAGUGCUGCCCUGUUUCUUUAAAUUAGUUCUGAAUUUCCUGCAAACAGUCCAACUUCCAUGAGACAUAACUAACUCUACAAAAUAGAAAUGGAUGUGAAAUUUAUACUCACUUAAAAUAGACUGAUAUAUCUUUAAAAUCCUUUUAGAAGCAACUCAAAAUUCCAAAUAAAUCAAAAGUUAUAGCGUCUGGAAGUUGGUACUGCAGAACCAGAAAACCAGAAAAUUCUGCAGCAACCACUAAACUUCAAAAAUUCAUAUCUUCCAAACCACUUGGCCAAAUUCCCUGAAAUUUUUAUGGAGUAAUCUUGACUUCUUGAAUUUUGACAGAAAAAUAAUUUGGAUAAAGAAUUAUUUCUAGAUUGCUCCCAGUUUUUAUUUUAAGCUGCUGCCAAUUAUGCAGAAAAUUCUGCAUUAAGUAAUUUUAACAACCCUUCAUACCAUAUUUUAUAUUCAAGCCUAAAAUUCCUCUAAAACCACAAUUCUAACUUUCUUUAAACUAACAAAAUUUGCCCAAGAAUGCUUAAUUCAAUAUAUCACCACUUCACAUUAUAGGUGCAACGUAAUCAUAUUAUCACAGCAUCCAUUCUUUAGCAUCUCAUCUAUCACAACAUAUUUCAAGUUAUGAUUCAUCAAAUAAAUUUCCAGUAGCCAUCUCAAUAUUCCAUACUCAAAACCAUCAUCAACAAGUACUAACAUCAUGUAUCACUUCAAAACACACAACAUCAUCUAUAAUUACUACAUGAAAUCAUUAAACCAAUCACCAAUCACAGCUAUGAUUCAACUCAAUUCCAACAAUUAUUCACACAAAGAAGCCAUAAACUAUUUGCAAUUACUCAUUUAAUGUUAUUGGCAUUCAUACUUUAAAACCUUUAUUUUUAAAACAAACCCCCUACCUUGAUUUGUCGAACCCGUAGGAACUAACCGCGAUAAUCCCCUUUCUUUAUCCCUUAAUUUUCAACAGCGGCAGCAACCCUCAAUGCAGCCAGAGCAGCGGCAGUAGCCUCAACUCCUUCAAGGCAGCAACAGCGACAACCGCAC